UGGGGAAUAUUGCACAAUGGGCGCAAGCCUGAUGCAGCGACGCCGCGUGAGGGAUGACGGCCUUCGGGUUGUAAACCUCUUUCAGCAGGGACGAAGCGGAAGUGACGGUACCUGCAGAAGAAGCGCCGGCCAACUACGUGCCAGCAGCCGCGGUAAGACGUAGGGCGCGAGCGUUGUCCGGAUUUAUUGGGCGUAAAGAGCUCGUAGGCGGCUUGUCGCGUCGACUGUGAAAACCCGCGGCUCAACUGCGGGCCUGCAGCCGAUACGGGCAGGCUAGAGUUCGGUAGGGGAGACUGGAAUUCCUGGUGUAGCGGUGAAAUGCGCAGAUAUCAGGAGGAACACCGGUGGCGAAGGCGGGUCUCUGGGCCGAUACUGACGCUGAGGAGCGAAAGCGUGGGGAGCGAACA
This 407-nucleotide ribosomal RNA is filed under the name uncultured bacterium. RNAcentral's name for it is "bacterial SSU rRNA". It matches the Rfam family "Bacterial small subunit ribosomal RNA", at positions 355 to 774 of the family's 1533-position model. The record is from RNAcentral.